Molecule: ribosomal RNA, 492 nt
Filed under: uncultured bacterium
Lineage: Bacteria
Description: partial 16S ribosomal RNA
Rfam family: Bacterial small subunit ribosomal RNA
Source: RNAcentral
GAUGAACGCUAGCUACAGGCCUAAUACAUGCAAGUCGAGGGGACACGGCAUCGGAUGCUUGCUCUUGUUGUGCGUCCACCCGGGCAAGUGAGAGUUACGUGUACUCAAUCUGCGCAUCACUUGAGUAUAACAUUGCGAAAGUAAGACCAAUUCAUAAUGUCAUCCCACUAAGUCAUACGUAUGGGACUAACGUUCUAUCGGUGAUGGAUGGGGAUGCGUUUGAUUAGCUUGUUGGUGGGGUGACGGCCCACCAAGGCAACGAUCAGUAGCGGUUAUGAGAGGAAGGCCCACCACAGUGGAGCUGAGACACGGACCAAACUCGGACGGGAGGCAGCAGUGUGGAAUAUUAGGGAAUGGGCGAGAGCCUGAACCAGCCAAGUAGCGUGCAGGAUGACGCCCCUAUGGGUUGUAAACUGCUUUUAAAAGAGAAUAAAGUGGGUCACGUGUGACUUUUUGCAUGUACCUUAUGAAUAAGGACCGGCUAAUUCCGUG